AAGAUACAAAAUGUUUAAGCUUCUAACUUAAACUUAAGUUUAAUAAAACUUUAUCUUU
This 58-nucleotide transfer RNA is filed under the name Neohydatothrips samayunkur. RNAcentral describes it as "tRNA-Ser". The record is from RNAcentral. Lineage: Eukaryota; Metazoa; Arthropoda; Insecta; Thysanoptera; Thripidae.